UACGUAGGUGGCAAGCGUUGUCCGGAUUUACUGGGCGUAAAGAGCGCGCAGGCGGUCGUUCAAGUCGCGUGUGAAAGCCCCCGGCUCAACUGGGGAGGGUCACGCGAUACUGGUCGACUCGAAGGCAGGAGAGGGUAGUGGAAUUCCCGGUGUAGUGGUGAAAUGCGUAGAUAUUGGGAGGAACACCAGUGGCGAAGGCGGCUCACUGGACCGGUACUGACGCUGAGGCGCGAAAGCGUGGGGAGCAAACAGG
RNAcentral lists this ribosomal RNA (253 nucleotides) under uncultured bacterium. Its description in RNAcentral is "partial 16S ribosomal RNA". It matches the Rfam family "Bacterial small subunit ribosomal RNA", at positions 524 to 776 of the family's 1533-position model. The record is from RNAcentral.